RNAcentral lists this non-coding RNA (68 nucleotides) under pig gut metagenome. The record is from RNAcentral.
CCGUCAUCAUGAGAUGAUGCUGAACGCGCAGAAGUCAGCAGAGGCCAUAGUAGCCGAGAGGUGAAGGG